This 205-nucleotide long non-coding RNA is filed under the name Phaseolus vulgaris (common bean). RNAcentral's name for it is "long non-coding RNA (PVUL_LNC001039)". The record is from RNAcentral. Lineage: Eukaryota; Viridiplantae; Streptophyta; Magnoliopsida; Fabales; Fabaceae.
AGUGUCUUCAUUUGAUACCGUAGAUUUCAAGAAUAGAGCUUUUUCUAUUAACUACCAAGAAAAACCAAAAAACAUAAUUCAUAGUGGGGUAAAAAUCUCGUUUACCCACACUUUAUUACACUAUUUUCUUUCGGUGUGCUUUUACUUUGCUUCAUUUCCAAAUAUAUAACAGUCAUAACUUCAAAGAAUAUAUAAUCGAUUAUCU